CUACGGGGCGCACCAGUGGGGAAUAUUGCACAAUGGGCGCAAGCCUGAUGCAGCCAUGCCGCGUGUAUGAAGAAGGCCUUCGGAUUGUAAAGUACUUUCAGCGGGGAGGAAGGGAGUAAAGUUAAUACCUUUGCUCAUUGACGUUACCCGCAGAAGAAGCACCGGCUAACUCCGUGCCAGCAGCCGCGGUAAUACGGAGGGUGCAAGCGUUAAUCGGAAUUACUGGGCGUAAAGCGCACGCAGGCGGUUUGUUAAGUCAGAUGUGAAAUCCCCGGGCUCAACCUGGGAACUGCAUCUGAUACUGGCAAGCUUGAGUCUCGUAGAGGGGGGUAGAAUUCCAGGUAUAGCGGUGAAAUGCGUAGAGAUCUGGAGGAAUACCGGUGGCGAAGGCGGCCCCCUGGACGAAGACUGACGCUCAGGUGCGAAAGCGUGGGGAGCAAACAGGAUUAGAUACCCCCGUAGUC
RNAcentral lists this ribosomal RNA (464 nucleotides) under uncultured bacterium. Its description in RNAcentral is "partial 16S ribosomal RNA". It matches the Rfam family "Bacterial small subunit ribosomal RNA", at positions 339 to 795 of the family's 1533-position model. The record is from RNAcentral.